GCCACUUUAGCUCAGCUGGCCAGAGCACCGCACUUGUAAUGCGGGGGUCCCCAGUUCGAAUCUGGGAAGUGGCUCCA
RNAcentral lists this transfer RNA (77 nucleotides) under Clostridium sp. RNAcentral describes it as "tRNA-Thr". It matches the Rfam family "tRNA". From Rfam's summary of the family: Transfer RNA (tRNA) molecules are approximately 80 nucleotides in length. Their secondary structure includes four short double-helical elements and three loops (D, anti-codon, and T loops). The record is from RNAcentral. RNAcentral also lists the same sequence under 4 other names. Lineage: Bacteria; Bacillati; Bacillota; Clostridia; Eubacteriales; Clostridiaceae.